GAUGAACGCUGGCGGCGUGCUUAACACAUGCAAGUCGAACGAACCUUCGGGUUAGUGGCGGACGGGUGAGUAACGCGUGAGAAUCUGCCCUCAGGAGGGGGAUAACGGCUGGAAACGGCCGCUAAUACCCCAUAUGCCGCGAGGUGAAACGAAUUUCGCCUGAGGAUGAGCUCGCGUCUGAUUAGCUAGUCGGUGGGGUAAAGGCCUACCAAGGCAUCGAUCAGUAGCUGGUCUGAGAGGAUGAUCAGCCACACUGGGACUGAGACACGGCCCAGACUCCUACGGGAGGCAGCAGUGGGGAAUUUUCCGCAAUGGGCGCAAGCCUGACGGAGCAACGCCGCGUGAGGGAUGAAGGCCUCUGGGCUGUAAACCUCUUUUAUCAAGGAAGAAGAUCUGACGGUACUUGAUGAAUAAGCCACGGCUAAUUCCGUGCCAGCAGCCGCAGUAA
RNAcentral lists this ribosomal RNA (448 nucleotides) under uncultured bacterium. RNAcentral describes it as "partial 16S ribosomal RNA". It matches the Rfam family "Bacterial small subunit ribosomal RNA", at positions 28 to 523 of the family's 1533-position model. The record is from RNAcentral.